AACUAUAACGGUCCUAAGGUAGCGAAAUUCCUUGUCAGGUAAGUUCUGACCCGCAUGAAAGGCGUAAUGAUUUGGGCACUGUCUCAACAGCCCGCCCGGCGAAAUUGUAGUACCGGUGAAGAUGCCGGUUACCCGCGACAAGACGGAAAGACCCCAUGGAGCUUUACUGUAGCCUAAUAUUGGGUUUCGAUGUUGCAUGCACAGGAUAGAUGGGACACUGGGAAGCAAGAGCUUUGGCUUUUGUGGAGUGGCCGUUGGGAUACCAUCCUUGCGAUAUUGGAAUUCUAACCUGCGCCUUUGAAUCAAGGCGGGGGACAUUGUUAGGUGGGCAGUUUGACUGGGGCGGUCGCCUCCUAAAGAGUAACGGAGGCGUUCAAAGGUUCGCUCAGCUUGAACGGAAAUCAAGCAAAAGAGUGCAAACGCAGAAGCGAGCCUAACUGCGAGACUGACGGGUCGAGCAGUAACGAAAGUUGGAGUUAGUGAUCCGGUGGUAUGUGAGUGGAAAUGCCAUCGCUCAACGGAUAAAAGCUACCCUGGGGAUAACAGGCUGAUCUCCCCCAAGAGUCCACAUCGACGGGGAGGUUUGGCACCUCGAUGUCGGCUCAUCGCAUCCUGGGGCUGUAUUCGGUCCCAAGGGUUUGGCUGUUCGCCAAUUAAAGCGGUACGCGAGCUGGGUUCAGAACGUCGUGAGACAGUUCGGUCCCUAUCUGUCGUGGGCGCAGGAUAUUUGAAAGGAGCUGUCCCUAGUACGAGAGGACCGGGAUGGACGCACCUCUGGUGCACCAGUUGUCACGCCAGUGGCACAGCUGGGCAGCUAUGUGCGGAACGGAUAAACGCUGAAAGCAUCUAAGCGUGAAGCCGCCCUUAAGAUAAGAUAUCCCAUCUCUUUAAGAGAGUAAGACCCCUCAAAGACUAUGAGGUUGAUAGGCUUACUGUGUAAGCAUGGUGACAUGUUUAGCUUGCAAGUACUAAUCGGUCGAGGGCUUUUCCUU
This 992-nucleotide ribosomal RNA is filed under the name human gut metagenome. Its description in RNAcentral is "bacterial LSU rRNA". It matches the Rfam family "Bacterial large subunit ribosomal RNA", at positions 1938 to 2925 of the family's 2925-position model. The record is from RNAcentral.